GGUCGCGUGGCCGAGAGGCAAGGCACGGGUCUGCAAAACCUUCUACGGCGGUUCGAGUCCGCCCACGACCU
Non-coding RNA from Sphingobacteriales bacterium 50-39, 71 nucleotides. Lineage: Bacteria; Pseudomonadati; Bacteroidota; Sphingobacteriia; Sphingobacteriales. The record is from Rfam.